UUUUUUUUUUUUUUUUUUUUUUUGGCCACACCCACACAAGUUCCAGGGCCAGAACCCACACCACAGCAGGACGAUGCCGGAUCCUUAACUCACUGAGCCACCAGAAGCCCACCUUUACCCUGCCUUGCCCACCCUUAAUCUCUCUCAGUUAAACCUAGAAAGGCUCCUCCCUCCCUUCCUGCACUUAGAACUUCCUGCACGUACUGAAUUAAUUUCCAGGGCUGCCUUAACAAAUUACCAUAAACUUAGGGACUUUAAACAUCACAAAUUUACUCUCUCCGUUCUAGAAGCUGGAAGUCUGAAAUUAAGGUGUUUGCAGGGCCAAGCUCCCUCCUAAAUCUCUAGGGGCGAAUCCAGCCUUGCUUCUUCCAGCUUCUGGUAAAUUUAGCCCAGCAUUCCUUAGUUUGUGGUAGCCUCUUUACUCACCGGCUCAGUCUUCAUGUGGCUUCAUGUCACUUCUCCUCACGUAUAAAGACGCAUCACUCUGGACUUAGGGCCCCUCUAAUCCAGGAUGAUCCAACUUGAUUAUAACCUAAUCUGCAAAGAACUUUUUUUCCCCAAAUGAAGCCACAUUCACAGGUUAGGAUUUGAGCACAUUUGGAAGGCUACAGUUCAACCCACUACUCCGACCAUAUCUUAAACUGAGAUAAUAACACCACCUGGAGAGUUACUGGGAUUUGAGAUUAUACAUUUAAACUCUGAUAGUAAAUACUCAAUAAUGAGGUUGAUCAGGACAAUUCAUCUGUUGUUCUAGCAUAUAUUUGUUUUUUUUCUUUUUAGGGCUGCACCCAAGGCCUAUGGAAGUUCCCAGGCUAGGGGUCUUAUCAGAGCUGCAGCUCCUGGCCUACACCACAGACACAGCAACACCAGAUCCAAGCUGUGUCUUUCACCUACACCAUAGCUCGUGGCAAUGCCAGAUCUUUAAGCCACUGAGAGGGGCCAGGAAUGGAACACGAAGCCCGAUGGAUACUAGCCAGGUUCAUUUCCACUGAGCCACAAUAGGAACUUUUUGUUUGUUUUUGCUUUUUAGGGCCGUACCCUCGGCACAUGGAGGUUCCCAGCAGCGACGAACCUGCCUAGCAGCGAGCGGCCCUGCCCGGUGGGUUAAGGACCCUCACCGCUGUGGCUGUGGCGUCGGCCGGCAGCUGCAGCUCGGAUUCAACCCGGAGCCUGGGGACUUCCGUACGCGUGCGCGAGGCCCUAAAAAGCAAAUAAAAACAAAAUAACAUCCGUACUUUAGAAUCGUGUGUGGGAAAUGGCCAAGCCUCGGUCCCCCACUCCCUCCACGCUUUCACCCUGGGAGCGGGAACAGUCUUUACACCCAACAUUAAACCGUCAGAACGAGGUUAACCAUCUGCGUGUUCUUCCGUCAACAAGUCCGUGAGUCAAUUCUCUAAAAGCAGGAAAACACUCACAGAAACGCGCUCCCCGCCUGCGCUCGGCGGGGUGGACAUCACGGGAGGCUCCGGAAGCGCCGUCCUCCGAGGCCGUCGUUAGUAUUCCAGAAGUUUCUACGGGUGAAGGGGAGCAUCUGGCACUUGGAAAACCACAAAGUGGCAUUUCCACCGUGAUAUUAUGUCACUAAACAACGCUUCUAUGCUGCCAGCACUGUUCCCUUUUUCCGUUUUGUAUAUAUGACAGGCUCCCUCAGGGGGCAGCGAACCGCCGAAGCGCUGGCCGUCGCCCUGGGCGGAGACGCCCCGACGCCU
This 1709-nucleotide long non-coding RNA is filed under the name Sus scrofa (pig). RNAcentral's name for it is "lncRNA (ENSSSCG00035060855.1)". Lineage: Eukaryota; Metazoa; Chordata; Mammalia; Artiodactyla; Suidae. The record is from RNAcentral.